ACCGCUUUAGCUCAAUGGGAGAGCAUCGCGUUGUGGCCGCGAGGAUCCAGGUUCAACUCCUGGGGGCGGGACCA
Molecule: transfer RNA, 74 nt
Filed under: Defluviimonas salinarum
Lineage: Bacteria; Pseudomonadati; Pseudomonadota; Alphaproteobacteria; Rhodobacterales; Paracoccaceae
Description: tRNA-His
Rfam family: tRNA
About the family: Transfer RNA (tRNA) molecules are approximately 80 nucleotides in length. Their secondary structure includes four short double-helical elements and three loops (D, anti-codon, and T loops). Further hydrogen bonds mediate the characteristic L-shaped molecular structure. tRNAs have two regions of fundamental functional importance: the anti-codon, which is responsible for specific mRNA codon recognition, and the 3' end, to which the tRNAs corresponding amino acid is attached (by aminoacyl-tRNA synthetases). tRNAs cope with the degeneracy of the genetic code in two manners: having more than one tRNA (with a specific anti-codon) for a particular amino acid; and 'wobble' base-pairing, i.e. permitting non-standard base-pairing at the 3rd anti-codon position.
Source: RNAcentral